AGGUCAAGUGAAGAAGGGCGCACGGUGAAUGCCUUGGCACUGGAAGCCGAUGAAGGACGCGACUAACCGCGAAAGUCUUCGGGGAGCCGUAAGUAGGCUUUGAUCCGGAGGUCUCCGAAUGGGGGAACCCAGCAUGUGCAGACAUGCUAUCCUUAAGUGAAUACAUAGCUUAAGGAGGGAACACGCAGUGAACUGAAACAUCUAAGUAGCUGCAGGAAGAGAAAGAAAUAUCGAUUUCCCAAGUAGCGGCGAGCGAACAGGAAAGAGCCCAAACCGGCAGAUUUAUCUGCCGGGGUUGUAGGACUGAGACAUGGCACUUCAGAGGAUAGCAGAAGCGUUUGGGAAAGCGCGCCAGAGAGGGUGAGAGCCCCGUAAGCGAAAUCCAAAGGAGGCCUAUCAGUAUCCUGAGUAGGGCGGGACACGUGAAAUCCCGUUUGAAUCCGCGAGGACCAUCUCGCAAGGCUAAAUACUAACCAGUGACCGAUAGUGAACCAGUACCGUGAGGGAAAGGUGAAAAGAACCCCGGGAGGGGAGUGAAAGAGAACCUGAAACCGUGUGCCUACAAGUAGUCAGAGCCCGUUAACGGGUAAUGGCGUGCCUUUUGUAGAAUGAACCGGCGAGUUGCGUUAGUCAGCAAGGUUAAGUCAGAAAAGACGGAGCCGUAGCGAAAGCGAGUCUGAAGAGGGCGAAUAGUUGGCUGACGCAGACCCGAAACCAAGUGACCUACCCAUGACCAGGUUGAAGGCACGGUAAAACGCGCUGGAGGACCGAACCCACGUAAGUUGAAAAUUGCGGGGAUGAGUUGUGGGUAGCGGUGA
This 818-nucleotide ribosomal RNA is filed under the name Lactobacillus delbrueckii subsp. bulgaricus. RNAcentral's name for it is "partial 23S ribosomal RNA". It matches the Rfam family "Bacterial large subunit ribosomal RNA", at positions 1 to 824 of the family's 2925-position model. The record is from RNAcentral. Lineage: Bacteria; Bacillati; Bacillota; Bacilli; Lactobacillales; Lactobacillaceae.